GGAAGGAUGACAGAGCGGUAAUGUGUCCCCUUGCUAAGGGGCAGCCAGGGUAAAACCUGCCCAGGUUCGAAUCCUGGUCCUUCCGCCA
Molecule: transfer RNA, 88 nt
Filed under: uncultured archaeon
Lineage: Archaea
Description: tRNA-Ser(gct)
Rfam family: tRNA
About the family: Transfer RNA (tRNA) molecules are approximately 80 nucleotides in length. Their secondary structure includes four short double-helical elements and three loops (D, anti-codon, and T loops).
Source: RNAcentral